UUGUGAGGCAGACAUAUUCAAAACGAAAAUCACAAGACAGAGUUGUUUUCUGGAUCAAAACAGAUCAGAGAAAGGAAAUUACAAAAAAAGAAGGAUGAAGAUUCUCUAAAUAGGCACAUGAAAACAGCAGAAGUGACAGCUGACAAUCUGUCUGACAAUAGGAAGGAGAAGUUAUCAAGUAGAGAAAAAAAAUGUAAGGCUCCGAAGUCCAAAUCAAUUUGGAUAGGGAUAAAGUAGGUUUCAGUAGCUGCCCGUGUAAUUGUAGUAAAAUAACUAAUGUUGAUAAUGAUGAUCCUGAGUCAUCCAGAUCAUAUGGGUCACUCAUAGCACUAGACAAAAAUAGACCAAGAUAGAAAGGAAGGAAGGAAAGAAGGAAACAGCUUUCCCUGCAGCCUUGAGAUGUGAAUGUCUUUCUACAAGAAUAUAAUCUGGCAAGCAUUUAACAACCAAAAUUUUAAAGCUAAUCUUGGAUAUGCAAAGUGAGGCAUGGGGGUAAAGGAAGGAGAGAAAGUUGAUUUGCUGCACAUAAGAAAAUUAAUGAAAUGAGGUAAGAGAAAAGAGGGGAAGAAUCAGACAACAUGCAAAGAGGCUAAAGUUUGAGCUGUGAGGGACUAUGGAUAGUGGUGACCAGUCUUCAUUUUUUUCUACCCUUUUACAGAUUUCAACAGUUUUAUUAAGGGAUAAACUUCACAUAUUUAAAAUUUACAGUUUGAUAAGUUUUGACAUAUAUACACCCAUGAAACCAUCAGGACAAUCAAGGUAGAAAAACCAUCCAUUUCCUCUUGAUUUCUCCCUUGCACCCCUCCUUGACUUCCUCUCACCUCUACACAAACACUGCUUCUCCUUUCCAUCACUGUUCAUUUGCAUUUAAUAACAUAUUACAUAAGUGGACUCA
Long non-coding RNA from Felis catus (domestic cat), 895 nucleotides. RefSeq lists it as uncharacterized. The transcript has 2 exons. The record is from RefSeq and is a predicted model, not a curated record. NCBI's taxonomy places the organism in Eukaryota, Metazoa, Chordata, Mammalia, Carnivora, Felidae.